GUCUAAGGCCAUACCACCCUGAACACGCCCGAUCUCGUCUGAUCUCGGAAGCUAAGCAGGGUCAGGCCUGGUUAGUACUUGGAUGGGAGACCGCCUGGGAGCACCAGGUCCUGUAGGCU
Cavia aperea (Brazilian guinea pig) is the source of this 119-nucleotide ribosomal RNA. The record is from Ensembl. NCBI's taxonomy places the organism in Eukaryota, Metazoa, Chordata, Mammalia, Rodentia, Caviidae.